This 403-nucleotide ribosomal RNA is filed under the name Isostichopus badionotus. RNAcentral describes it as "partial 16S ribosomal RNA". It matches the Rfam family "Bacterial large subunit ribosomal RNA", at positions 1921 to 2517 of the family's 2925-position model. Lineage: Eukaryota; Metazoa; Echinodermata; Holothuroidea; Aspidochirotida; Stichopodidae. The record is from RNAcentral.
UCCUCAACGGCCGCGGUAUCUUGACCGUGCAAAGGUAGCAUAAUCAUUUGUCUCUUAAAUGGGGACCUGUAUGAAUGGCUUUUCAUUCUCUAGCUGUCUCCCUUCUUCCCCCUUUAAACUUCUAUUUACGUGAAGAAGCGUAAUUUUGACAGAAAGACGAGAAGACCCUGUCGAGCUUCAGCUAAACCUAAGUCCCACUACAUUUCCUCUCAGAGAAAAAGUAAAGUCCUUAGAACAAGCUUUGGUUGGGGCAACCAUGGAGUAAAAACAGCCUCCAGUUUUUCAGGUAGAAAACUAUUCUCCUAAAUAUACACUUUUAGAACCAAAAAUUUUGGAAAACGGAAAAAGUUACCGCAGGGAUAACAGCGUUAUCUUUUCUGAGAGCCCUUAUUGACGAAAAGGA